RNAcentral lists this long non-coding RNA (542 nucleotides) under Medicago truncatula (barrel medic). RNAcentral describes it as "long non-coding RNA (MTRU_LNC004994)". Lineage: Eukaryota; Viridiplantae; Streptophyta; Magnoliopsida; Fabales; Fabaceae. The record is from RNAcentral.
AAUAUAAAUAGAGUAAAAUUAUUAUUUAUUCAAAACACUUCAUGUCAUCAAUUCAAAUCUCAUUGCAGCGGAAAACAUUAAUUGAACAACGUAAUGGCACGACGGUCUCAACAUAAACAACUUAUUAAAAUCCCAUUCUAGGUGGUUCAUCAACAUAAAAUCAUAGAAAUAUGUAACACAUGGAAAACAAGCAAGAUCCCCAUCCUGUUACGUAUCAGAGCGACCCUAAGACGACGCGUGAGGGAGUCAACUCACUACAACAACUAUUUCUUGUUAUCUGCACGUUACCCAUGUAGAGGCAACAUUCAAACAGAAGGGGUGAGAUUUCACAUUCAAUAAUAAUAAGUAUAUAAUUCAUCAAUAGAAUUUAAUAACAUAGACAACAUCAGUUAAUAAUAUCAAUUCUUCAUAUAGUUCUUCAUUAACAACUCAUUGAUAAUUUGAUAACUUAACAACAACGACCAUGCGACAACAACGAAUUCAAGUCGACAAUGCAACAACAACCACAUCAUCUCGACAAUGCAACUACAACAACUUAAUCA